Molecule: ribosomal RNA, 356 nt
Filed under: Ara macao (Scarlet macaw)
Lineage: Eukaryota; Metazoa; Chordata; Aves; Psittaciformes; Psittacidae
Description: partial 12S small subunit ribosomal RNA
Rfam family: Bacterial small subunit ribosomal RNA
Source: RNAcentral
UAGCCCUAAAUCUUGAUGACCCCAAACACAAACAUCCGCCUGAGAACUACGAGCACAAACGCUUAAAACUCUAAGGACUUGGCGGUGCUCUAAACCCACCUAGAGGAGCCUGUUCUAUAAUCGAUAACCCACGAUUCACCCGACCACCUCUUGCCAAAACAGCCUAUAUACCGCCGUCGCCAGCCCACCUCGUGAGAGCACAACAGUGAGCCCAACAGCCCACAGCCCACUAACAAGGCAGGUCGAGGUAUAGCCUAUGAGAUGGAAGAAAUGGGCUACAUUUUCUAAAAUAGAAAACCCAACGAAAAGGGGCUUGAAACCUGCCCCCAGAAGGCGGAUUUAGCAGUAAAGUAGGA